Molecule: transfer RNA, 33 nt
Filed under: Cairina moschata (Muscovy duck)
Lineage: Eukaryota; Metazoa; Chordata; Aves; Anseriformes; Anatidae
Description: partial tRNA-Lys
Source: RNAcentral
CUAGCUAAAGAGGAGUCACUCCCUCCUUAAUGA